This 74-nucleotide transfer RNA is filed under the name Azobacteroides pseudotrichonymphae (SeqCode). RNAcentral describes it as "tRNA-Lys". It matches the Rfam family "tRNA". Rfam says of the family: Transfer RNA (tRNA) molecules are approximately 80 nucleotides in length. Their secondary structure includes four short double-helical elements and three loops (D, anti-codon, and T loops). The record is from RNAcentral. Lineage: Bacteria; Pseudomonadati; Bacteroidota; Bacteroidia; Bacteroidales.
GAUUCAUUAGCUCAGUAGGUAGAGCACAUCCCUUUUAAGGAUGGGGUCCUGGGUUCGAGCCCCAGAUGGAUCAC